GGAGAGAUGCCGGAGUGGUCGAACGGGGCGGUCUCGAAAACCGUUGUGGGUUCUGCCUACCGUGGGUUCGAAUCCCACUCUCUCCG
This 86-nucleotide transfer RNA is filed under the name Candidatus Rifleibacteriota bacterium. Its description in RNAcentral is "tRNA-Ser". It matches the Rfam family "tRNA". Rfam says of the family: Transfer RNA (tRNA) molecules are approximately 80 nucleotides in length. Their secondary structure includes four short double-helical elements and three loops (D, anti-codon, and T loops). Lineage: Bacteria; Candidatus Rifleibacteriota. The record is from RNAcentral.